GGCACAAGAGAGCCUGUUUGCCUGGGAGUGCAUGUUUCAAAUGCUUAGCUGCCUAUAAAGCUGUAACAGUUCAGCCUGUGGCCACUGAGGGAAGAAUAUAAGUUAACCUCUGUAGUGACCAUGUGGAAGUCCUGACCUUGCUUGCAGACUUGACCUCUGGAUAUGACAAGGUAAGGUCCUGUGUUCACUGAUACUUCCCUCUUACUUCACCGACUCAUGAAAAGAAGCGCUGAUUCAGCAAAUAGAGUGAAGAAUCAAGAUGAGAUGGCUGCUGCCGAUGUGACUCUCUAGGUCAUAUCUCUCCUCCUGCUAACGCCGCAUGACACUGAGCUUACAGGAUCUAGAAGCAAACUGCAAUAUAAGAAGAAAUUUGCUCUGAAGACUAUGAAGAAACACUAGGCUGAUCUUAGCAAUUUUUGAAAUACACUCUGUAAAUCCUCACUCUGUAAAUCCUAUGAAUGUCUUGAAAAAAGAACCAAACCAGGACAAAAUUCAACAGAUAACUGGUCAAUGUUUAGAAGUGUAUGUCCACCAAGAACAAGGAACCAUAAAUGGCACUACUCCCAUGCCUCAGCAGCAUAUGGAGUUCCCGGGCCAGGGAUCAGAUCCAGUUUGGACAUACGCUGCAGCAACACCGGAUCCUUUGCCUGCUAGGUAUCGAACCUACCACCUGGUGCUGCAGAGACACCGCCCAGCCCAUUGUGCCCAUUGUGCCCGUGGAGGAACCCUGGGGAUUCCUGAUACUUUAUAACUGUAUUUAAUAUAUAUUUAAACAGUCAUUUCAUAACACUUGUAUUAGUUUUAAGUAAAAAAAAACCAUAUAAAACUAAUGAAGACAU
Long non-coding RNA from Sus scrofa (pig), 839 nucleotides. RefSeq lists it as uncharacterized. The record is from RefSeq and is a predicted model, not a curated record. NCBI's taxonomy places the organism in Eukaryota, Metazoa, Chordata, Mammalia, Artiodactyla, Suidae.